Molecule: ribosomal RNA, 584 nt
Filed under: uncultured bacterium
Lineage: Bacteria
Description: bacterial SSU rRNA
Rfam family: Bacterial small subunit ribosomal RNA
Source: RNAcentral
ACGGGUGAGUAAUACAUCGGAACGUAUCCUGGAGUGGGGGAUAGCCCGGCGAAAGCCGGAUUAAUACCGCAUACGCUCUGAGGAGGAAAGCGGGGGACCUUCGGGCCUCGCGCUCAAGGGGCGGCCGAUGGCGGAUUAGGUAGUUGGUGGGGUAAAGGCCUACCAAGCCGACGAUCCGUAGCUGGUCUGAGAGGACGACCAGCCACACUGGGACUGAGACACGGCCCAGACUCCUACGGGAGGCAGCAGUGGGGAAUUUUGGACAAUGGGGGCAACCCUGAUCCAGCAAUGCCGCGUGUGUGAAGAAGGCCUUCGGGUUGUAAAGCACUUUUGUCCGGAAAGAAAUCAUCGGGGCCAAUACCACUGGUGGAUGACGGUACCGGAAGAAUAAGCACCGGCUAACUACGUGCCAGCAGCCGCGGUAAUACGUAGGGUGCGAGCGUUAAUCGGAAUUACUGGGCGUAAAGCGUGCGCAGGCGGUGCUGUAAGACCGAUGUGAAAUCCCCGGGCUUAACCUGGGAACUGCAUUGGUGACUGCAGCGCUGGAGUAUGGCAGAGGGGGGUGGAAUUCCACGUGUAGCAGU